ACCAGACUCCUACGGGAGGCAGCAGUGGGGGAUAUUGCACAAUGGGGGAAACCCUGAUGCAGCGACGCCGCGUGGGUGAAGAAGUAUUUCGGUAUGUAAAGCCCUAUCAGCAGGGAAGAAAGAAGACGGUACCUGACUAAGAAGCCCCGGCUAACUACGUGCCAGCAGCCGCGGUAAUACGUAGGGGGCGAGCGUUAUCCGGAUUUACUGGGUGUAAAGGGAGCGUAGACGGUUAAUCAAGUCUGAAGUGGAAGCCCGCGGCUCAACUGCGGAACGGCUUUGGAAACUGAGUAACUGGAGUGCUGGAGGGGCAGGCGGAAUUCCUGGUGUAGCGGUGAAAUGCGUAGAUAUCAGGAGGAACACCGGUGGCGAAGGCGGCCUGCUGGACAGUAACUGACGUUGAGGCUCGAAAGCGUGGGGAGCAAACAGGAUUAGAUACCCGGGUACG
RNAcentral lists this ribosomal RNA (448 nucleotides) under uncultured bacterium. RNAcentral's name for it is "bacterial SSU rRNA". It matches the Rfam family "Bacterial small subunit ribosomal RNA", at positions 330 to 793 of the family's 1533-position model. The record is from RNAcentral.